This 500-nucleotide ribosomal RNA is filed under the name uncultured Glomeromycotina. RNAcentral's name for it is "partial small subunit ribosomal RNA". It matches the Rfam family "Eukaryotic small subunit ribosomal RNA", at positions 591 to 1092 of the family's 1831-position model. The record is from RNAcentral. Lineage: Eukaryota; Fungi; Glomeromycota.
CCAAUAGCGUAUAUUAAAGUUGUUGCAGUUAAAAAGCUCGUAGUUGAAUUUCGGGGUCAGUAGGUUGGUCGUGCCACAGGUACGUACUGGUCUCACUGAUUCCUCCUUCCUGAUGAACCGUAAUGCCAUUAAUUUGGUGUUGCGGGGAAACUGGACUGUUACUUUGAAAAAAUUAGAGUGUUUAAAGCAGGCUAACGCUUGAAUACAUUAGCAUGGAAUAAUGAAAUAGGACGUUCGAUCCUAUUUUGUUGGUUUCUAGGAUUGACGUAAUGAUUAAUAGGGAUAGUUGGGGGCAUUAGUAUUCAAUUGUCAGAGGUGAAAUUCUUGGAUUUAUUGAAGACUAACUACUGCGAAAGCAUUUGCCAAGGAUGUUUUCAUUAAUCAAGAACGAAAGUUAGGGGAUCGAAGACGAUCAGAUACCGUCGUAGUCUUAACCAUAAACUAUGCCGACUAGGGAUCGGAUGAUGUUAAUUUUUUAAUGACUCAUUCGGCGCCUUACG